RNAcentral lists this ribosomal RNA (425 nucleotides) under uncultured bacterium. Its description in RNAcentral is "partial 16S ribosomal RNA". It matches the Rfam family "Bacterial small subunit ribosomal RNA", at positions 354 to 796 of the family's 1533-position model. The record is from RNAcentral.
GUGGGGAAUCUUGCGCAAUGGGCGAAAGCCUGACGCAGCCAUGCCGCGUGAAUGAUGAAGGUCUUAGGAUUGUAAAAUUCUUUCACCGGGGACGAUAAUGACGGUACCCGGAGAAGAAGCUCCGGCUAACUUCGUGCCAGCAGCCGCGGUAAUACGAAGGGGGCUAGCGUUGCUCGGAAUUACUGGGCGUAAAGGGCGCGUAGGCGGACAGCUUAGUCAGAGGUGAAAGCCAAGGGAUCAACCUUGGAAUUGCCUUAGAUACUGGCUGUCUUGAGUUUGGAAGAGGUGAGUGGAACUCCGGGUGUAGAGGUGAAAUUCGUAGAUAUUCGGAAGAAGACCAGUGGCGAAGGCGACUCACUGGCCCAAUACUGACGCUGAGGCGCGAAAGCGUGGGGAGCAAACAGGAUUAGAUACCCCAGUAGUCC